CUCCUACGGGAGGCAGCAGUGGGACUCCUACGGGAGGCAGCAGUGGGGCCCACUCCUACGGGAGGCAGCAGUGGGACUCCUACGGGAGGCAGGAGUGGGACAGUUGGCUCAGAACGAACGCUGGCGGCUGGCUCAGAACGAACGCUGGCGGCCAACUCCUACGGGAGGCAGCUUUUGGACUCCUACGAGANGAAGCAGUGGGACUCCUACGGGAGGCAGCAGUGGGACUCUCAUCCGUGGCAGUAGGAANCUCCUACGGGUGCUUCGAGUG
Molecule: unclassified non-coding RNA, 271 nt
Filed under: uncultured bacterium
Lineage: Bacteria
Description: partial contains 16S ribosomal RNA and 16S-23S ribosomal RNA intergenic spacer region
Source: RNAcentral